CCCCUUAUUUGCCUUUUUUUCCUUUCCUAAACAGGUAGAAGUACACAUUAUGGGUUGCAGUAUCUAGAAAAAGGCUCUCUGGAGAGUCCUUGCAGGAUAACUUAAAACUUUGAAGAAUACAGUGGACUCCAAUGUCUGUUCUUCAGCUUUGCAAGUCCAAGAAUUCAGUCUUGUCUGAGCUUCAGAAAUGGUGAUUGAUUCAAGCAUUGAUCAUGUUUUCCUAACACUUGAGUUGUCUGAGUGUUGAGAGGAGGCCAUCUGGACAGAAGCUUAUUGUCUCAACACUUUGGGGGUCAUGAAGACAAUUUUUCCUGAGAGGGGCCCAGUGUGUAUUUUAAGGUGCUACGGCUCCAGGAAGUUCUUUUUGCUUUGAUUGAGUACUUUGAUCAGUUGGAGAUUGAAACACUGGGAUUCAGAGUCAAAGUAGAGCUACACUGCAAAAGUCAGGGUAUUCUACUCCUCAACUUCAUGGGGUGCCAUUAACA
This 485-nucleotide long non-coding RNA is filed under the name Ictidomys tridecemlineatus (thirteen-lined ground squirrel). Its description in RNAcentral is "lncRNA (ENSSTOG00000030748.1)". The record is from RNAcentral. Lineage: Eukaryota; Metazoa; Chordata; Mammalia; Rodentia; Sciuridae.